GAAACAUUCCUCUCCAGUUCCCAGUUGUGGGCUAAGUGGUGGGAGAAAUCGGGUGAACAGAGAAGAGUGGGCCUGCAACGGACUAAGUACCGGCUCCUGCAGUCAGCACAGCCACUGCUACAUUCCAGGGAGCACAGCCCGCAGUGGAAAAAGUGACCACUGAUCACACAGCCCAGGGAAAGAGAGGAGGCCACACGGCCCGAGCUCCACCCUGGGCAGAGGGGCCGGCAGGACAAGGCGUGACUGGCCAGCAGUUAAGAGCCUGUCGGCGAUCCAGAGACACGGAGACGCGCGCAGAGGCCUGCAGUCCUUUGCUGAGUGAGGGUGGGGGAAGGUAAGCUCAGCACACACCCUUGCAGCCUAAUGUCUCUGAGUCUCCAUGUUUUAUCUAUAAAAUGGGCAUGUCAAUCAAAGCAACUUGUAUUAUACCUUCCAUGGAUAUGUAGCCAUUCAUAUAAAAUUAUAAUUUCUUGGA
This is a long non-coding RNA of Capra hircus (goat), 475 nucleotides long. RefSeq lists it as uncharacterized. The record is from RefSeq and is a predicted model, not a curated record. The transcript is spliced from 2 exons. Lineage: Eukaryota; Metazoa; Chordata; Mammalia; Artiodactyla; Bovidae.